Long non-coding RNA from Papaver somniferum (opium poppy), 600 nucleotides. RefSeq lists it as uncharacterized. Lineage: Eukaryota; Viridiplantae; Streptophyta; Magnoliopsida; Ranunculales; Papaveraceae. The record is from RefSeq and is a predicted model, not a curated record. The transcript is spliced from 3 exons.
UAAUCGUUAAAUUUCCUUGUAGGUUGCGUACAUAGAAAAAUAAACCUUGGGAUCAAAUCAUGAAGUCAAAAUACUCUCCAUACUGCAAUUUUUUUAUAUCUUCAGGAAAAGCAUAAUGGCUCUUCGUGAAUCUAGAAAGGGAUAGAAAUGGGUCUAGAAUAUAUUAGGAAAUUUCAGAAAUGGGAUUUUAUAUGUGGAACAAAAACUUUGGUCUGGAAUGAUAAGUGGGUUAAACGGCUAGACAUUCCUCCCACUCCUAAAUUUAUGUUGUGAACAUCUCAAGAGAUAGAUCUCAAGGAUUUGGUCCUCAACACCACAGCAUUCUUUCUUUCAGGGAACUUCAGGACCUGGUUAAUUUAAAAUUAGAAUUCAAAGGAAGAGUUCUCUCAUAUUCAGUGAAAACAACUAGGUUCUCAGACCAUAUAUCUCAGCAUUGAGAUCUCUCUCUCUCUCUCUCUCUAUCUCAAGUUUGGAAGUAACAGGGUGAUGGAUUGUAGAUCAGAUCUACAAGUUUCUUCUUUGGAAAUGUUACCAAGAUAAAUGGUAGAGACAAAAUUUCAAUCAAAAGCCAAUAGAAGUAUGUUCAGGUUAGCUUUAACA